RNAcentral lists this ribosomal RNA (433 nucleotides) under uncultured bacterium. RNAcentral describes it as "partial 16S ribosomal RNA". It matches the Rfam family "Bacterial small subunit ribosomal RNA", at positions 28 to 507 of the family's 1533-position model. The record is from RNAcentral.
AGCGAACGCUGGCGGCAGGCUUAACACAUGCAAGUCGAGCGGGCCCUUCGGGGUCAGCGGCAGACGGGUGAGUAACACGUGGGAACGUACCCUUUGGUUCGGAAUAACGCUGGGAAACUAGCGCUAAUACCGGAUACGCCCUUUUGGGGAAAGGCUUGCUGCCGCAGGAUCGGCCCGCGGCUGAUUAGCUAGUUGGUGGGGUAAUGGCCUCCCAAGGCGACGAUCAGUAGCUGGUCUGAGAGGAUGAUCGGCCACACUGGGACUGAGACACGGCCCAGACUCCGACGGGAGGCAGCAGUGGGGAAUAGUAGACAAGGGGCGCAAGCCUGAUCCAGCCAUGCCGCGUGGGUGAUGAAGGCCUGAGGGUUGUAAAGCGCUGUUGUCCGGGACGAUAAUGACGGUACCGGAAGAAUAAGCCCCGGCUAACUUCGUG